RNAcentral lists this long non-coding RNA (514 nucleotides) under Ananas comosus (pineapple). Its description in RNAcentral is "long non-coding RNA (ACOM_LNC009968)". The record is from RNAcentral. Lineage: Eukaryota; Viridiplantae; Streptophyta; Magnoliopsida; Poales; Bromeliaceae.
GACUAUCCAGCUACCUCCACACUACUAGUCCGUGAAGAGCAAGUCCAACCGGCAUGAGCGACACCAACGCGAAAGCACAGCGCCCGUCUCCAGAGUGGCACUCGUGGGAGCUACCCAACCGAGUAUGCAGCGUAUCUCCGUCGAGCUCAAUCAGGCUCUCAAAAGCCAAAGUCCAGUAACCGACUCAAACUGAUCUAACAACCAACAGGUAACGUGCUCUCGACACAAUCCGACGCCAAAAAGGCGAUACGGGUCCACCGUCAACCCCGACGGCACCCAACAGUCCGGAACAGCCUGAACGCUACUGUAAAAAUAUACUCGGCAUCCCGGCACGAGCGUAACUGAAAACUAAACUAUCUGGAAUACUCACUAUAAGGAUACUGCUACAGUAUGAAAUAAUACAACGGCCCCUAGGGCUAAAUCAGGUAGUUUAAAUAUAUGACGAUCAUAAUCGCGAGUUUUCUCUUAAGUCUUAUCCAAGUCCAACAUGUAUAUAUAUAUCCAAAGAUAAUAA